CGGAAUCCACGACCUUGACCCGACAAUAUCUCCCUUUUGCGGCCACCCUUUCGGUCGCACUUGGUACCAAUCUGAAGCUUAGAAGCCAACCGUCGUUCCCCUGCCAUCCUCGCCACCGAAAACCAACCGGAACGCCAGUGAUCAAAGCUUGAACCUGCGACUGUUUCACUUUACUCCCGCCGGGAUUUUCGCCGGUUUUGGGUGACACCACCGGUUGGAUCUUGUUCCCCACGACUCCCUCUUCCAUUUCCGACCAUCUAUAGGCACCGAGAGUCACUGUUUUGCCGCCGGUCGAUUGUUGGAAUUCACGGCUGCCGAGCUCGAUUCCGGCGCCGUUGCCGCGCGUUGGAGCUCACCGCCGGUACCAUUGAACUCAGCGUGAUUGGAACUUUCAGAUUUGAGCUUCCUAGCCAGCGUUGACCAAAUUCCGGUGACCGUUGACCGUUGACCAAGAUAUAGAUGCUUCUGUUAGGAUAUUUUGGUCAUCUUGUUCUUUUGUGAUUGUAAACUUUUGUUAUAUUAUUCUUUUGGGAUUAUAAUAUUAUCUUUUGUAAUUCUGGAGAUAUAAAACUCAGCAUUUUGGUUGAGGAUGUUGAUCACUGGAGUUUGUUGUAUAUUAAAUUGUAUUGGGAGUGGUAUAUUCAUAUUUAUAUAUUGGGAGUGUUAUAUAUAUAAAGGAGAUUCCGCUGAAUUUUCGGCAGAAUCUUUACUCAUAAAAUUUUUAUCAAGUCCGUUUUGAUAAGACUAGAUAAACUCACUUGGGAGGGAGAUUCGGACGAGUCGUUUCAAUAGCUCAAUGCCAAAUAGAACCUUAAGGUCUUGCUUCAAUUUAUCUUGCAAUGGGGGAGC
RNAcentral lists this long non-coding RNA (849 nucleotides) under Citrus sinensis (sweet orange). RNAcentral's name for it is "long non-coding RNA (CSIN_LNC001070)". Lineage: Eukaryota; Viridiplantae; Streptophyta; Magnoliopsida; Sapindales; Rutaceae. The record is from RNAcentral.